GGCGCUGAUAGCCUGCAAAAAUUGACUGUUAAUCAAUUGGUCGUAGGUUCGAUCCCUACCGCGGAGCCA
RNAcentral lists this transfer RNA (69 nucleotides) under Rhodovulum visakhapatnamense. Its description in RNAcentral is "tRNA-Ser". Lineage: Bacteria; Pseudomonadati; Pseudomonadota; Alphaproteobacteria; Rhodobacterales; Paracoccaceae. The record is from RNAcentral.